This 119-nucleotide ribosomal RNA is filed under the name Hordeum vulgare subsp. vulgare (domesticated barley). Lineage: Eukaryota; Viridiplantae; Streptophyta; Magnoliopsida; Poales; Poaceae. The record is from RNAcentral.
GGAUGCGAUCAUAGCAGCAACAAAGCACUGGAUCCCAUUAGAACUCCGAAGUUAAGCGUGCUUGGGGAAGAGUAGUACUAGGAUGGGUGACUUCUUGGGAAGUCCUCAUGUUGCAUUCC